AUACGGAGGAUGCGAGCGUUAUCCGGAUUUAUUGGGUUUAAAGGGUGCGUAGGCUGUGCGUUAAGUCAGGGGUGAAAUGCCGUCGCUCAACGACGGAGCUGCCCUUGAUACUGGCGUGCUGGAGUACGGAUGCCGUUGGAGGAAUGAGUGGUGUAGCGGUGAAAUGCUUAGAUAUCACUCAGAACACCGAUUGCGAAGGCAUCUGACGAAUCCGUCACUGACGCUGAGGCACGAAAGCGGGGGGAUAGAACAGGAUUAGAUACCCUGGUAUUCCACGCCGUAAACGAUGAUGACUAACCGUCGGCGAUAGACAGCCGGUGGCCAAGCGAAAGCGAUAAGUCAUCCACCUGGGGAGUACGUCGGCAACGAUGAAACUCAAAUGAAUUGGCGGGG
RNAcentral lists this ribosomal RNA (393 nucleotides) under uncultured bacterium. RNAcentral describes it as "partial 16S ribosomal RNA". It matches the Rfam family "Bacterial small subunit ribosomal RNA", at positions 523 to 918 of the family's 1533-position model. The record is from RNAcentral.